Molecule: non-coding RNA, 72 nt
Organism: Bos taurus (domestic cattle)
Lineage: Eukaryota; Metazoa; Chordata; Mammalia; Artiodactyla; Bovidae
Source: Rfam
UCCCUGGUGGCUCAGAUGGUAAAGCAUCUGCCUACAGUGCGGGAGACCCAGGUUCGAUCCCUGGGUUGGGAA